Molecule: ribosomal RNA, 588 nt
Filed under: uncultured bacterium
Lineage: Bacteria
Description: bacterial SSU rRNA
Rfam family: Bacterial small subunit ribosomal RNA
Source: RNAcentral
UUCCUACGGGAGGCAGCAGUGGGGAAUAUUGGACAAUGGGGGCAACCCUGAUCCAGCCAUGCCGCGUGUGUGAAGAAGGCCCUCGGGUUGUAAAGCACUUUCAGCGAGGAAGAACGCCUAGCGGUUAAUACCCGCUAGGAAAGACAUCACUCGCAGAAGAAGCACCGGCUAACUCCGUGCCAGCAGCCGCGGUAAUACGGAGGGUGCAAGCGUUAAUCGGAAUUACUGGGCGUAAAGCGCGCGUAGGUGGCUUAAUAAGCCGGUUGUGAAAGCCCCGGGCUCAACCUGGGAACGGCAUCCGGAACUGUCAAGCUAGAGUGCAGGAGAGGAAGGUAGAAUUCCCGGUGUAGCGGUGAAAUGCGUAGAGAUCGGGAGGAAUACCAGUGGCGAAGGCGGCCUUCUGGACUGACACUGACACUGAGGUGCGAAAGCGUGGGUAGCAAACAGGAUUAGAUACCCUGGUAGUCCACGCCGUAAACGAUGUCGACCAGCCGUUGGGUGCCUAGCGCACUUUGUGGCGAAGUUAACGCGAUAAGUCGACCGCCUGGGGAGUACGGCCGCAAGGUUAAAACUCAAAUGAAUUGACGG